CCUACGGGGGGCAGCAGUGAGGAAUAUUGGUCAAUGGACGCAAGUCUGAACCAGCCAAGUCGCGUGAAGGAUGAAGGACCUAUGGUUUGUAAACUUCUUUUAUGGGGGAAUAAAGGUAUUCACGUGUGGAUAAUUGCAUGUACCGUAUGAAUAAGGAUCGGCUAACUCCGUGCCAGCAGCCGCGGUAAUACGGAGGAUGCGAGCGUUAUCCGGAUUUAUUGGGUUUAAGGGGUGCGCAGGCUGGUGGUUAAGUCAGUGGUGAAAUGUUGUGGCUCAACCAUAACAUUGCGGGGGAAACUGGAAGACUGGAGUGUGUGUGAGGUAGGCGGAAUGCGUGGUGUAGCGGUGAAAUGCAUAGAUAUCACGCAGAACUCCGAUUGCGAAGGCAGCUUACUAAACCAUAACUGACACUGAGGCACGAAAGCGUGGGUAUCAAACAGGAUUAGAUACCCCUGUAGUC
RNAcentral lists this ribosomal RNA (460 nucleotides) under uncultured bacterium. RNAcentral's name for it is "partial 16S ribosomal RNA". It matches the Rfam family "Bacterial small subunit ribosomal RNA", at positions 338 to 795 of the family's 1533-position model. The record is from RNAcentral.